UACGGGAGGCAGCAGGGGGGAAUAUUGCACAAUGGGCGCAAGCCUGAUGCAGCCAUGCCGCGUGUAUGAAGAAGGCCUUCGGGUUGUAAAGUACUUUCAGUCGUGAGGAAGGUGUUAAGGUUAAUAACCUUAGCAAUUGACGUUAGCGACAGAAGAAGCACCGGCUAACUCCGUGCCAGCAGCCGCGGUAAUACGGAGGGUGCGAGCGUUAAUCGGAAUUACUGGGCGUAAAGGGCACGCAGGCGGUUAAUUAAGUUGGAUGUGAAAUCCCCGGGCUUAACCUGGGAAUGGCAUUCAAGACUGGUUAGCUAGAGUCUUGUAGAGGGGGUAGAAUUCCAUGGUGUAGCGGUGAAAUGCGUAGAGAUGUGGAGGAAUACCGGUGGCGAAGGCGGCCCCUGGACAAAGACUGACGCUCAUGUGCGAAAGCGUGGGGAGCAAACAGGGAUUAGAUACC
Molecule: ribosomal RNA, 454 nt
Filed under: uncultured bacterium
Lineage: Bacteria
Description: bacterial SSU rRNA
Rfam family: Bacterial small subunit ribosomal RNA
Source: RNAcentral